GGGACGCCGUGGCCGGCGCGGUCGGCAGGGUCACCGAGGCGCACACGGUCAGGGCGAGCAGGGUGGACGUUCUGCGCACCGUCGCCGGCAUUGCGUCGACUCCCGGAGUACGAGGGUGAGGGGGCCGCGCCUGCCGCAGCCCCCUCUACUGUCAGUAGAUGCUACUGACACUCCUCGUGACCUCCGGGAGAUCGGUGACGCGUGUUACUCGCCGACCGAGCCGUCGACCGCCUGACGGAGGAGGUCGGCGUGACCGCAGUGCCGGGCGUACUCCUCGAUCAUGUGCGUGACGAUCCACCGCAGGCUCGGGGUCUGACCGGUCCGGUGCACCCGCUGGGCGAGCUGGCUCAGGUCGCCCUGCGCCAGAGCCUUCACGACGGCUGCGCGCGACCGGUCGACUGAGGUCUGCCAGAGCGCGAGAACCUGCUCCGGGGUGUCGUCCGCGGCCGAGUGCCAGUCCCAGUCGGAGUCGGCGUUCCAGUCCACGGUGUCCCA
Molecule: non-coding RNA, 495 nt
Filed under: Kineosporia sp. NBRC 101731
Lineage: Bacteria; Bacillati; Actinomycetota; Actinomycetes; Kineosporiales; Kineosporiaceae
Source: RNAcentral